This 994-nucleotide unclassified non-coding RNA is filed under the name Primulina luochengensis. RNAcentral's name for it is "partial 166FR". The record is from RNAcentral. Lineage: Eukaryota; Viridiplantae; Streptophyta; Magnoliopsida; Lamiales; Gesneriaceae.
UUUCUUCUCUAUUACACUAUAUCAUUUUAUGCUGGUAGUUUACCAUCUUGGUCAUUUCAUAUAUGCCGUUAUUUGUAAGCAUUUAUCUUGCUGUGGAUUGAGGGUUCGGGCUAGAAUUUAAUUUGGUGGCUUCUGACCUGUAACUUCUCCUGUUAUGUUUAACUUUGAAAUGCUUUCAAACAAUUUGGCUUGUGAGAUAUAAAUUAAUCGCCUUUUUUCGUUCUGGGUCUGAUUACUGAGCCAAGAGGGAAAAAAAAGAAAGAAUCUCAGCACCGAUUAAACUCAUUUUUACUACUGCUUCCGUUGGUACAGCCAGAGAGGAACUCAAACAUUCUCUCCCGAUCUAUUAUUUCAAGAUGGAAUUGAACUGCUUGGACAAUUUGAAUGAUAACGUUCAUCAUUCAAAUGGUAAAAUUCCAUUGCAAAAUGCAGAGCCUAAUUCUAGAAUGCUCUACCUAAUAUUUUCCAAUAAAUGUUGUAUUUGAAAUUUUAGAUUUGAUUAAAAAUAAGGAGUAACCACCACCCUCUUGUUAGAGCUUAAAUGUGAGGUGUGAGAAAGUGGUCAAAAAUUGUGGAAUAAAACUGUUGUGUGGAUAAAUGGUGCAUGAGAUCUUGUGAGGUGCUUGCUUUAGCAGUAUUAUGCUGCAAAUUUAUUGUAUUUGAUAACUUGUAUCAUUGAAUCAGCAUGUUCAAGCUAAUGCUCAUUACGAGCGAAUGUUCACUUCUCUCAUUUAAUGUGGAAUUAGGGUUUAAAAAUAGAAUGAAAUAUCUUUAGUUUUUCUAAGUGGUAAUUUGGGCUUGGGUGCAGGUGAGUUUGAGCGAGUAGCAGGACACACAUCAAAAGUAAAAGUGCACACAUAUGGCACACAGUUUGUUAUUACUGGAUUCAACUAUUUGUUUUUGUGCAACUGGUGCUGAAAUUUGCAUAUUUUGUAAUGUAUAAAGUUACAGGUGAUUUGGGCGAGCGACCCAGUUUCACAACGGAGGGGAGGAG